GAUGAACGCUGGCGGCGUGCCUAAUACAUGCAAGUCGAGCGAACAGACGAGGAGCUUGCUCCUCUGACGUUAGCGGCGGACGGGUGAGUAACACGUGGAUAACCUACCUAUAAUACUUGGAUAACUUCGGGAAACCGGAGCUAAUACCGGAUAAUAUAUUGAACCGCAUGGUUCAAUAGUGAAAGACGGUUUUGCUGUCACUUAUAGCUGGAUCCGCGCCGCAUUAGCUAGUUGGUAAGGUAACGGCUUACCAAGGCGACGAUGCGUAGCCGACCUGAGAGGGUGAUCGGCCACACUGGAACUGAGACACGGUCCAGACUCCUACGGGAGGCAGCAGUAGGGAAUCUUCCGCAAUGGGCGAAAGCCUGACGGAGCAACGCCGCGUGAGUGAUGAAGGUCUUCGGAUCGUAAAACUCUGUUAUUAGGGAAGAACAAAUGUGUAAGUAACUAUGCACGUCUUGACGGUACCUAAUCAGAAAGCAACGGCUAACUACGUG
RNAcentral lists this ribosomal RNA (497 nucleotides) under uncultured bacterium. Its description in RNAcentral is "partial 16S ribosomal RNA". It matches the Rfam family "Bacterial small subunit ribosomal RNA", at positions 28 to 507 of the family's 1533-position model. The record is from RNAcentral.